ACAUGAAUUUCCCCACAUUGUGGUGACCCCCCAACCAGCGACCACAACCCAUCUGAAAUUAAAGAGCCCCCCUUCGCUGGUUACUGUCAAGUAUCCUUAAUCCUUAAUUAAAGGUCUAAUUUUUCAUUAAUUCUUUUAAAUUCUUUUUAAAUACUCUUAAAUGCUCUCUAAAUUCAAAGGGACGGCAAUGUAGGAAGCGCUCCUCCUUCUCCCCCCCCCACUAACCAUGUAGCCGUUAUCCCCAACCCCCUCUCUUUCCCUUUCUCUCUUUAUUUCCUUCCUAUUUUCUCUCUCUAACUACUCUCUUUGUUUUGGUAAUUAACUACUCUCCUUGUUCAAUUUCAUUUUUUAUAGGCUUAAUUUUUAUUGAGUAAUACGCGGACUAUAGAGUAGACAACACCAGGAAAAUAACAAAAAAUAAUUCUUAUUAGAUAACCAAAAAAAAAUCCAAAACCCAUCUCUCUCUCCCCUCACGCAGACACUUCUUUCGUAGCAAAACAGCAAGCCUUUACAUAGCUUAAGAGCAACAUCACACUAAAUAACAACCAACAAAACCACAGAGAUAGAGAGAGAAAACAAAGCCUCCAAACCCUUCUCUCUCUAUCUCUCCCCUUCUUCUCUACUUCACUCUUCCCUUCUCUUCUUCAGGGGCCAAGAGAGGAGCUCAGAAACUGGAGUCCAGUGCUCCGCCGGGGAAUGUGACUCUCCCUCUCCACCAAAAGGCUAGCUGGUGGUGGAAUUCGAGAAGAUAGGCAGAGAUCGAGAUAGGGUCGAGGCGGAGAACCAGAUCUCUCCCUGGGGAGCAUGGUGGCCGCCAUCCCCGCCGCUUCUCCGACCACCACCGCCUCGGCCACCUCCACCUCCCCCGGCCCCAAAAACCCCUCCCUCCCCGACGAUCCCCAUAACCCCUCCCGUCCCCCUCUCAUCCCCUCAGAGAAGGACAAUGCUGCCGCCGUCUCCCGCCGCCCCCGGACCAAGGAGAUCUCCUCUCGAUAUCUCUCCUCCUACUCCUCGUCGUCUUCUACUACCUCUACUUCCUAUUCUUCUUCCAAUUCCUACUCUUCUUCGCGCUCUUCUUCGAGUUCCCGGCGCUUCCCCUCA
This 1101-nucleotide long non-coding RNA is filed under the name Elaeis guineensis (African oil palm). Its description in RNAcentral is "long non-coding RNA (EGUI_LNC075405)". Lineage: Eukaryota; Viridiplantae; Streptophyta; Magnoliopsida; Arecales; Arecaceae. The record is from RNAcentral.